AGCUAACCAAGUUGUUGUCUCUCC
Molecule: non-coding RNA, 24 nt
Filed under: Arabidopsis thaliana (thale cress)
Lineage: Eukaryota; Viridiplantae; Streptophyta; Magnoliopsida; Brassicales; Brassicaceae
Source: RNAcentral